CAGUUGGUACCUCCUGUGGUGCGAUGCAGAAGUGGCCUCGUUGGCUGAGAGCUGAGGAGGUGGCUCUGGGCUGCUUCCCGAGACAUGCUGGUAGAAGCAGACCUGUUUCUGGGGAGAAAUCCCGACUCAAAUUAAGAGGAAGAGGAGCAGCCUGUAGUUGGGAGCUGAAAACACAACCUGCUGACUCUCAGGGUGUCUUAGAAGAAUGCAAUUGGGGCCUACUUGCAGAUUACUGCUGGAUUCAGAAUCCCAGGAAGGGAGGAGGGAGCAAGCUGGAGAGCUUGAGGACUCACGUGAGUACCAGGAAAAGUGCGGCAUCUCUCCACUUCUCUUCUCUCCGCCUGCCUGCAGCCAGGGUGAGACUGAGAUGGGCAGCCCUUCAGGGACCCUGAUAUUCUUCAUAACGAAAAUUUAACCAACAUCCUUUAGACACUUGUUCA
Molecule: long non-coding RNA, 440 nt
Organism: Mustela erminea (ermine)
Lineage: Eukaryota; Metazoa; Chordata; Mammalia; Carnivora; Mustelidae
Exons: 3
Source: RefSeq, a predicted model, not a curated record